Molecule: long non-coding RNA, 202 nt
Filed under: Mytilus galloprovincialis (Mediterranean mussel)
Lineage: Eukaryota; Metazoa; Mollusca; Bivalvia; Mytilida; Mytilidae
Source: RNAcentral
AUAAAAUUCAGAAAGGAAAUGGGGUAUGUGUCAAAGCGACAACAACCCGACCAUAGAGCAGACAACAGCCGAAGGUCACCAAUGGGUCUUCAAUGUAGCGAGAAACUCCCGCAUCCGUAGGUGUCCUUCAGCUGGCCCCUUAAAAAAUAUGUAUACUAGUACAGUGAUAAGAGACGUCAUACUAAACUCCGAAUUAUACACA